RNAcentral lists this ribosomal RNA (283 nucleotides) under uncultured bacterium. RNAcentral's name for it is "partial 16S ribosomal RNA". It matches the Rfam family "Bacterial small subunit ribosomal RNA", at positions 123 to 406 of the family's 1533-position model. The record is from RNAcentral.
AACAUGCCCUUCAUUCGGGAAUAGCCCUUGGAAACGGGGAGUAAUACCCGAUGGUAUUUCGGAGCAGCAUUGCUUCGGAAUUAAAGUUACGGCGAUGAGGGAUUGGUGUGCGUAAGAUUAGAUAGUUGGUAAGGUAACGGCUUACCAAGCCUUCGAUCUUUAGGGGGCGUGAGAGCGUGAACCCCCACACGGGUACUGAGACACGGACCCGACUCCUACGGGAGGCAGCAGUAGGGAAUAUUGGACAAUGGGCGGAAGCCUGAUCCAGCCAUGCCGCGUGAAG